RNAcentral lists this long non-coding RNA (1198 nucleotides) under Salmo salar (Atlantic salmon). RNAcentral describes it as "lncRNA (ENSSSAG00000103530.1)". The record is from RNAcentral. Lineage: Eukaryota; Metazoa; Chordata; Actinopteri; Salmoniformes; Salmonidae.
AGCAAUUUCUCCCCAGCGACCAGGCCCAUAUUUUAUUUUUAAUGGUAAGUUUGGCUAUAAAGAUACAUAAAAUAUUGUAGCCUACACCUCAAACUGUUAUUUGUUCCACAAUAAUUCACUCUUGCCUCCUUUUUCGGGUAUCAUGGCUCGAGAUUUCUUUGAGGACAAAUCAUCGAGAUAUGCUGCACCCUAUGUCAGGGAGGUGUUUUUGGGACCACGUCAUUUCUUUCAAGACAAUGACCCAAUACACACUGCCGCCCGGGUUUGCAUUGCAAAUGAGGGCAUAAACUGGGUCAAGACGCCAGCAGAAAGGGAGAAGCCGAGAUGUCCAAGUUGUGGAAAAGAUCAUGUUGUGUAAACCAAGAAGCCACGUCUUUGGAAUGCCCGACAAGGGUGUAAGAGAAUGAGGUGGCCAAAGUCAGGGCUGUCCAGAGCAUUUCAUAUGCAGCAGCUGUUAAAAGGGUUGAGACUUUGAAUGGUGCACCUGAAGAGUCCAUGGUGGUGGAUCCUGACAUUUUAAAGGUUGAGAUGGUGGACUUGUGGCCUUUAUAGCUAUGGUGAUUAAUGGCACUGACAAGAUGGAGAGAAGGUCCAGGAGGAUGGUUAUCAUUGUGGAUGCGGCGGAACGGUUCCUGCAACUGAAAGAUUUCUCCGCGGAGAGGUUACAUGGAAUAUUGUCACAAGCCGUAUCACCCUCUCAGGCCCUAGAGCCUGAGAAGAGAGAUACAGUGAGGGAAAAAAGUAUUUGAUCCCCUGCUGAUUUUGUACGUUUGCCCACUGACAAAGAAAUGAUCAGUCUAUAAUUUUAAUGGUAGGUUUAUUUGAACAGUGAGAGACAGAAUAACAACAAAAAAAUCCAUGUCAAAAAUGUUUUAAAUUGAUUUGCAUUUUAAUGAGGGAAAUAAGUAUUUGACCCCCUCUCAAUCAGAAAGAUUUCUGGCUCCCAGGUGUCUUUUAUACAGGUAACGAGCUGAGAUUAGGAGCACACUCUUAAAGGGAGUUGAUAAGGAAUUGAAAAAUGGUAUGGUUGAGAGGGAUGAGGCAAAUAAGUCUGCAGCCCAACUGAUUGCAAACGUACUGCAAAUUAAGAAAUCAUGUGACUAAACUAAAUAAAAAUAAACUAUGCUAUGAAACAAAGAUACAUUUUAUAAAGAAUAAUAGUAAAAAGCUGUGGGGCACGUUAUAAAUGAGGUUUUGG